AUUGAACGCUGGCGGCAGGCCUAACACAUGCAAGUCGAACGAGCGGCGGACGGGUGAGUAAUGUCUGGGAAACUGCCUGAGGGAGGGGGAUAACUACUGGAAACGGUAGCUAAUACCGCAUACCAUCAGAUGUGCCCAGAUGGGAUUAGCUUGUGGGUGGGGUAACGGCUUACCAAGGCGACGAUCCCUAGCUGGUCUGAGAGGAUGACCAGCCACACUGGAACUGAGACACGGUCCAGACUCCUACGGGAGGCAGCAGUGGGGAAUAUUGCACAAUGGGCGCAAGCCUGAUGCAGCCAUGCCGCGUGUGUGAAGAAGGCCUUCGGGUUGUAAAGUACUUUCAGCGGGGAGGCGUUACCCGCAGAAGAAGCACCGGCUAACUCCGUGCCAGCAGCCGCGGUAAUUC
Molecule: ribosomal RNA, 406 nt
Filed under: uncultured bacterium
Lineage: Bacteria
Description: partial 16S ribosomal RNA
Rfam family: Bacterial small subunit ribosomal RNA
Source: RNAcentral